UCUUGACAUCCAGAGAACUUGGCAGAGAUGCCUCGGUGCCUUCGGGAACUCUGAGACAGGUGCUGCAUGGCUGUCGUCAGCUCGUGUUGUGAAAUGUUGGGUUAAGUCCCGCAACGAGCGCAACCCCCUAUCCUUUGUUGCCAGCGAUUCGGUCGGGAACUCAAAGGAGACUGCCGGUGAUAAACCGGAGGAAGGUGGGGAUGACGUCAAGUCAUCAUGGCCCUUACGAGUAGGGCUACACACGUGCUACAAUGGCGUAUACAAAGAGAAGCGACCUCGCGAGAGCAAGCGGACCUCAUAAAGUACGUCGUAGUCCGGAUUGGAGUCUGCAACUCGACUCCAUGAAGUCGGAAUCGCUAGUAAUCGUAGAUCAGAAUGCUACGGUGAAUACGUUCCCGGGCCUUGUACACACCGCCCGUCACACCAUGGGAGUGGGUUGCAAAAGAAGUAGAUAGCUUAACCUUCGGGAGGGCGUUUACCACUUUGUGAUUCAUGACUGGGGUGAAGUCGUAACAAGGUAAGCGUACGUGU
This 531-nucleotide ribosomal RNA is filed under the name uncultured bacterium. RNAcentral's name for it is "bacterial SSU rRNA". It matches the Rfam family "Bacterial small subunit ribosomal RNA", at positions 979 to 1509 of the family's 1533-position model. The record is from RNAcentral.